RNAcentral lists this long non-coding RNA (1401 nucleotides) under Theobroma cacao (cacao). RNAcentral's name for it is "long non-coding RNA (TCAC_LNC001350)". Lineage: Eukaryota; Viridiplantae; Streptophyta; Magnoliopsida; Malvales; Malvaceae. The record is from RNAcentral.
AACAAUAUACUUGCCACCACCUAUAGAUCACCUUGGUUCAUUUUAAUAUGAACCAAACAAUAAUAGGAUAAUCAAAAAUUUUACCUAGCUAGGUGAUGUAGUAAUCACGAUGGCAAAUCCUCUUGAAAAGAGAAAGCUUAGCACACUUCGAGGAGGUGAAGAACUCGAGCGACCCAAGUGUAUGGCCUUCAAUGGUUUCACACAUAAUUGCACUUGAACUUUCAGUAAGGUGGGAGCUUUCAACUACUCUUUGUGCUAGCAAAAUGGACAAUAAUUAUCUUUUUCCUCACACAAUCAAUGGGCGAACCACACAUGAGAAUUUCUUCUCUCAAAAAUUCUUUUUCAAGGGGGAGGUUAGAGAGUUUACUAACAAUUUUCUGUCUAGGUUUUUUUUUCUCUUUUGUUUUUUUGUUUUUUUGACAACUAGGUUAUGUGAGGUGUAGUUAAAAGUGAUAUUUAUAUUUAAGUUAAAUAACUCCUUUAAUUCCAACUAAGGCCUCAAUAUUAUAACUCUUUAUAAUAUUGGCCCAAUACUUAAUUAAACCCUUUUAAUUAAGUCAUUGUAAAUUAAAAUCAAAUUAAUUUACUUUAUUCACCUGCAAUUAAGGCUUUAAUAUUAUAAUUAUUUAUAAUAUUUGCCUAAAACUUAAUUAAACUAUUUUAAUUAAAUCUUUUAGAAGUUAAAAGGCCUAAUGUAUGAUUUAAGUCCAACUUAAAUCAUCACACUCUUAAUUUAAUUCAUAAUGCAACUUAUUGUGUGUAACUCAUUAGGUUCUUUACAUAUUGGCAUUGGACUUGAAUUGAAAUCAUAAUUAAUUAAUUUAAAUGAAUCAUAUUCAUUAUAAAUUAGUUAAUUCAAUUCCAUAAACCAAGAUUGACAUCUAGCAAUGCAUUAUGGCCACCUAAUUGUUAGGAAAGUCAAAAGGUUUUUUGACACCUUUUCAAUUUAUAGUCUAUCAAUGUAAUUCAUUCUUUCAUCAUAUAUCCCAAAGAUGAUAAAAGUAUGGUGCAGUGUUUACUCUUAUUGAUCUCCAUAUUCAUUCUUAAGAUUAAAUGAUUACCUCUAUUGAGACUUAUGAAACUCUUUUCAUAAUCUCAAAGUCACGUUAGCCUAAGACUUCAAUAAGCUAAUAUUAACAAAGAACUAUUAAGAUAUGUCCCCUAAAUCACUUGGGGUGAUGAUCCUUAUCUUGACCACUCAUUUACCUUCACAUGCUUUAUGCUACAACCAACCAUAUCUUGAUUUGGCAUCCUUGGUAAGACCCGUAAGGAUAUGAUCAAAUAUAUAGCAUUCCACAUAUAAGACAAUCUAGUGUCUCAAGUCGAAGGAAUAUUUACAUGAUUAAUACAUGAGAAAUAUUUGCAUAAACAUUAGAGUGAGAUACCAAAUGCAUUUCUCAU